This 328-nucleotide ribosomal RNA is filed under the name uncultured eukaryote. RNAcentral's name for it is "partial 18S ribosomal RNA". It matches the Rfam family "Eukaryotic small subunit ribosomal RNA", at positions 1470 to 1796 of the family's 1831-position model. The record is from RNAcentral.
CCCUUAGAUGUCCUGGGCUGCACGCGCGCUACACUGAUGUGUCCAGUAAGCACCUAACCUCUUCCGAAAGGAACGGGUAACCUUUGCAAAGCACAUCGUGAUGGGGAUAGAUUAUUGCAAUUAUUAGUCUUGAACGAGGAAUUCCUAGUAAGCACAAGUCAUCAGCUUGUGUUGAAUACGUCCCUGCCCUUUGUACACACCGCCCGUCGCUCCUACCGAUUGAGUGGUCCGGUGAGGCUUUGGGAUCUGAGCGGAAAGAGCGUUUCGCUGUUUCUGCUCGGAAAACUCAGUCGAACCUUAUCAUUUAGAGGAAGGAGAAGUCGUAACA